AUGCGAUACUUGGUGUGAAUUGCAGAAUUCAGUGAAUCAUCGAAUCUUUGAACGCACAUUGCGCCCCCUGGUAUUCCGGGGGGCAUGCCUGUUCGAGCGUCAUUUCACCACUCAAGCCUCGCUUGGUAUUGGGCAACGCGGUCCGCCGCGUGCCUCAAAUCGACCGGCUGGGUCUUCUGUCCCCUAAGCGUUGUGGAAACUAUUCGCUAAAGGGUGCUCGGGAGGCUACGCCGUAAAACAACCCCAUUUCUAAGGUUGACCUCGGAUCAGGUAGGGAUACCCGCUGAACUUAAGCAUAUCAAUAAGCGGAGGA
This 313-nucleotide ribosomal RNA is filed under the name Cladosporium sp. BAB-3949. RNAcentral's name for it is "eukaryotic LSU rRNA". The stretch from base 1 to 102 matches the Rfam family "5.8S ribosomal RNA", at positions 53 to 154 of the family's 154-position model. The record is from RNAcentral. Lineage: Eukaryota; Fungi; Ascomycota; Dothideomycetes; Cladosporiales; Cladosporiaceae.